GUGCUUAACACAUGCAAGUCGAACGGUAAGGCCCCUUCGGGGGUACACGAGUGGCGAACGGGUGAGUAACACGUGGGUAAUCUGCCCUGCACUUCGGGAUAAGCCUGGGAAACUGGGUCUAAUACCGGAUAUGAGCUCCUGCCGCAUGGUGGGGGUUGGAAAGUUUUUCGGUGCAGGAUGAGCCCGCGGCCUAUCAGCUUGUUGGUGGGGUAAUGGCCUACCAAGGCGACGACGGGUAGCCGGCCUGAGAGGGUGAUCGGCCACACUGGGACUGAGACACGGCCCAGACUCCUACGGGAGGCAGCAGUGGGGAAUAUUGCACAAUGGGCGGAAGCCUGAUGCAGCGACGCCGCGUGGGGGAUGACGGUCUUCGGAUUGUAAACCCCUUUCAGUAGGGACGAAGCGCAAGUGACGGUACCUGCAGAAGAAGCACCGGCCAACUACGUGCCAGCAGCCGCGGUAAUACGUAGGGUGCGAGCGUUGUCCGGAAUUACUGGGCGUAAAGAGCUCGUAGGCGGUUUGUCGCGUCGUCUGUGAAAUCCUCCAGCUUAACUGGGGGCGUGCAGGCGAUACGGGCAGACUUGAGUACUACAGGGGAGACUGGAAUUCCUGGUGUAGCGGUGAAAUGCGCAGAUAUCAGGAGGAACACCGGUGGCGAAGGCGGGUCUCUGGGUAGUAACUGACGCUGAGGAGCGAAAGCAUGGGUAGCGAACAGGAUUAGAUACCCUGGUAGUCCAUGCCGUAAACGGUGGGCGCUAGGUGUGGGGGUCUUCCACGACUUCCGUGCCGCAGCUAACGCAUUAAGCGCCCCGCCUGGGGAGUACGGCCGCAAGGCUAAAACUCAAAGGAAUUGACGG
Molecule: ribosomal RNA, 857 nt
Filed under: uncultured Dietzia sp.
Lineage: Bacteria; Bacillati; Actinomycetota; Actinomycetes; Mycobacteriales; Dietziaceae
Description: bacterial SSU rRNA
Rfam family: Bacterial small subunit ribosomal RNA
Source: RNAcentral